GGACACAGUCCCUGUCCUCCAGGAGCUCACGGCUUAUGCUCUGUGUUCUGUAUAUAUAACAUUAUGCAGAG
This 71-nucleotide microRNA precursor is filed under the name Pteropus vampyrus (large flying fox). Its description in RNAcentral is "miRNA (ENSPVAG00000025056.1)". The record is from RNAcentral. Lineage: Eukaryota; Metazoa; Chordata; Mammalia; Chiroptera; Pteropodidae.